Passer domesticus (house sparrow) is the source of this 529-nucleotide long non-coding RNA. RefSeq lists it as uncharacterized. Lineage: Eukaryota; Metazoa; Chordata; Aves; Passeriformes; Passeridae. The record is from RefSeq and is a predicted model, not a curated record. The transcript has 3 exons.
GGAAUUAAUAGAGGGUGGAAUCUGACAUUUCUAUGGUAACUGUUUGUUUCAUUGUGACAUCUCACAGAAAAGAUCCUCAGACCCCAAUGACCCUGGUCACCUCUCAGCAGCCAUCAAAAAGCCUGACACUCAUGAUCAAAUUGUGUCCUGCUCAAACACUGUGUUGAGGGCAAUACACAUGUGGAAGCCGAGCUAUUCUAUAUGCUUUAUCAGGUGACAAAAAUCAUCAAUAAAGGGGGCUGCAGACCAGAAAUAUUUGCUCCUUUACUGGGAGAGCAUUUAGGUAGGUUGCUGGGACCCAUGUCUCUUUACCUCCCUCAAACCACCAUUGCCUUGUGCAUAAGCAAGUAUCUUCUCUGACCCUCACUAGUCGGGAAAAGAGAUGCAAAGUUUCAGUGAAAGCCAGUAUAUUCCUACCUGACAACAUGUUAUUUUUUGACCUUGAGGGUCACCUUAUUGCAAGUAAUUCUGCCUUACCUUUAACAGGGGCCUGUUCAAUACAUGAAAAAUAAAGCAUUUCCGUAACUUC